ACAUGCAAGUCGAACGCUUCUUUUUCCACCGGAGCUUGCUCCACCGGAAAAAGAGGAGUGGCGAACGGGUGAGUAACACGUGGGUAACCUGCCCAUCAGAAGGGGAUAACACUUGGAAACAGGUGCUAAUACCGUAUAACAAUCRAAACCGCAUGGUUUUGAUUUGAAAGGCGCUUUCGGGUGUCGCUGAUGGAUGGACCCGCGGUGCAUUAGCUAGUUGGUGAGGUAACGGCUCACCAAGGCCACGAUGCAUAGCCGACCUGAGAGGGUGAUCGGCCACAUUGGGACUGAGACACGGCCCAAACUCCUACGGGAGGCAGCAGUAGGGAAUCUUCGGCAAUGGACGAAAGUCUGACCGAGCAACGCCGCGUGAGUGAAGAAGGUUUUCGGAUCGUAAAACUCUGUUGUUAGAGAAGAACAAGGAUGAGAGUAACUGUUCAUCCCUUGACGGUAUCUAACCAGAAAGCCACGGCUAACUACGUGCCAGCAGCCGCGGUAAUACGUAGGUGGCAAGCGUUGUCCGGAUUUAUUGGGCGUAAAGCGAGCGCAGGCGGUUUCUUAAGUCUGAUGUGAAAGCCCCCGGCUCAACCGGGGAGGGUCAUUGGAAACUGGGAGACUUGAGUGCAGAAGAGGAGAGUGGAAUUCCAUGUGUAGCGGUGAAAUGCGUAGAUAUAUGGAGGAACACCAGUGGCGAAGGCGGCUCUCUGGUCUGUAACUGACGCUGAGGCUCGAAAGCGUGGGGAGCAAACAGGAUUAGAUACCCUGGUAGUCCACGCCGUAAACGAUGAGUGCUAAGUGUUGGAGGGUUUCCGCCCUUCAGUGCUGCAGCUAACGCAUUAAGCACUCCGCCUGGGGAGUACGACCGCAAGGUUGAAACUCAAAGGAAUUGACGGGGGCCCGCACAAGCGGUGGAGCAUGUGGUUUAAUUCGAAGCAACGCGAAGAACCUUACCAGGUCUUGACAUCCUUUGACCACUCUAGAGAUAGAGCUUCCCCUUCGGGGGCAAAGUGACAGGUGGUGCAUGGUUGUCGUCAGCUCGUGUCGUGARAUGUUGGGUUAAGUCCCGCAACGAGCGCAACCCUUAUUGUUAGUUGCCAUCAUUCAGUUGGGCCUCUAGCAGACUGCCGGUGAMAAACCG
This 1138-nucleotide ribosomal RNA is filed under the name Enterococcus faecium. Its description in RNAcentral is "bacterial SSU rRNA". The record is from RNAcentral. Lineage: Bacteria; Bacillati; Bacillota; Bacilli; Lactobacillales; Enterococcaceae.